Molecule: non-coding RNA, 29 nt
Filed under: Rattus norvegicus (Norway rat)
Lineage: Eukaryota; Metazoa; Chordata; Mammalia; Rodentia; Muridae
Source: RNAcentral
UUAUUCAAUCUUAUCAUGAUGUGCAGCUC